RNAcentral lists this long non-coding RNA (563 nucleotides) under Chinchilla lanigera (long-tailed chinchilla). Its description in RNAcentral is "lncRNA (ENSCLAG00000024528.1)". The record is from RNAcentral. Lineage: Eukaryota; Metazoa; Chordata; Mammalia; Rodentia; Chinchillidae.
UUUCAUUCUAAUGGUGAGGACAAAACCCCUAAAAUGAACAAGGUAUUUUUGGACCCUAGACCGUAUCAGAAGGAACACUAACUAGGCUGAUGCGGUGAGAGGCCAGAGGAGGCCCCUGUGGUAGCUGAGCUGAGAGCUGAACAGGAAUCAGCAACUAGGAGAAUGCAGACAGAAGGUUCUGGCCAGAGGGCACAAGAAGGGCCGGCCUGAAGAACAGGAAAGCACAGUUCCAUCUGUUGGGGGUGAGGGGAGAAAAUCACGGACAACACUUCAAAAUCAUGCUAACCAGUGGCACAGAGCUGCAACCUAGAAGUCAGUGUGCUGGUCUGUUUCUGUAGACACUGAAGAAGAGGCAUAUGCUGCUGUGGCUGCCGGCUCAAUGCUAUUUGUGACCUUUGGUUUACAUGAUGGUCUGAACUUGGUUUAGAGAUAAUAAACAAACAAAACAUCCGAUUUCUGUGACAUUCUUGCUUAUUACCCUGAUUCCAAUAGAUAUUUCUAUGAGCCCAGCCAAACAAUAACCUAUUUUCUAAAGACUAUGUUUGGAAAAAGAAAACAUUUUC